This 1124-nucleotide ribosomal RNA is filed under the name Bacillus sp. (in: firmicutes). Its description in RNAcentral is "bacterial SSU rRNA". It matches the Rfam family "Bacterial small subunit ribosomal RNA", at positions 35 to 1143 of the family's 1533-position model. Lineage: Bacteria; Bacillati; Bacillota; Bacilli; Caryophanales; Bacillaceae. The record is from RNAcentral.
GCUUUCGCGUGCUAUCAUGCAAGUCGAGCGAACUGAUUAGAAGCUUGCUUCUAUGACGUUAGCGGCGGACGGGUGAGUAACACGUGGGCAACCUGCCUGUAAGACUGGGAUAACUUCGGGAAACCGAAGCUAAUACCGGAUAGGAUCUUCUCCUUCAUGGGAGAUGAUUGAAAGAUGGUUUCGGCUAUCACUUACAGAUGGGCCCGCGGUGCAUUAGCUAGUUGGUGAGGUAACGGCUCACCAAGGCAACGAUGCAUAGCCGACCUGAGAGGGUGAUCGGCCACACUGGGACUGAGACACGGCCCAGACUCCUACGGGAGGCAGCAGUAGGGAAUCUUCCGCAAUGGACGAAAGUCUGACGGAGCAACGCCGCGUGAGUGAUGAAGGCUUUCGGGUCGUAAAACUCUGUUGUUAGGGAAGAACAAGUACGAGAGUAACUGCUCGUACCUUGACGGUACCUAACCAGAAAGCCACGGCUAACUACGUGCCAGCAGCCGCGGUAAUACGUAGGUGGCAAGCGUUAUCCGGAAUUAUUGGGCGUAAAGCGCGCGCAGGCGGUUUCUUAAGUCUGAUGUGAAAGCCCACGGCUCAACCGUGGAGGGUCAUUGGAAACUGGGGAACUUGAGUGCAGAAGAGAAAAGCGGAAUUCCACGUGUAGCGGUGAAAUGCGUAGAGAUGUGGAGGAACACCAGUGGCGAAGGCGGCUUUUUGGUCUGUAACUGACGCUGAGGCGCGAAAGCGUGGGGAGCAAACAGGAUUAGAUACCCUGGUAGUCCACGCCGUAAACGAUGAGUGCUAAGUGUUAGAGGGUUUCCGCCCUUUAGUGCUGCAGCUAACGCAUUAAGCACUCCGCCUGGGGAGUACGGUCGCAAGACUGAAACUCAAAGGAAUUGACGGGGGGCCCGCACAAGCGGUGGAGCAUGUGGGUUUAAUUCGAAGCAACGCGAAGAACCUUACCAGGUCUUGACAUCCUCUGACACUCUAGAGAUAGAGCGGUCCCCUUCGGGGGACAGAGUGACAGGUGGUGCAUGGUUGUCGUCAGCUCGUGUCGGUGAGAUGUGGGUAGUCCGGCAACGGAGCGGCACCCUGAUCUUAGGUGGCCAGCAAUUAGUUGGGCACUCUAG